Long non-coding RNA from Anas platyrhynchos (mallard), 2116 nucleotides. RefSeq lists it as uncharacterized. The record is from RefSeq and is a predicted model, not a curated record. Lineage: Eukaryota; Metazoa; Chordata; Aves; Anseriformes; Anatidae.
UCUGCAAAAGGGUGAAAGUACGUUGAGGGGGUGUUAAAUCUGGGGGUAGGAAAGGGCCAGGAAGGAUUACGGCGUCCCUGUUUGAUGUGUAGGGUUUUGUGAGACUCUGGAGAAGUCUAACGGGCUGCAGGUUUCAGUUUGGGACAGCGCUGCCACUGCAUGUGUCUGCUGCAGGUUUGUGGGCAUACAAAGACUUUCAGGAAUGCGGCUCUGCUGUCAACUAACUUUCUUACAGCUAUGAAAAAUACAUCCUCAUGUUGUAGACCAGAAAAGGAGUGUGAUACUGUAGGAAAUGUUCCUUUGCUGAAAACUGAGUAAAAGGGCUAAGCUUUUGGAAAAGGAGGUUUCAGACCUCCUAAGGUCAAACCUGGAGUCCUGACCCAUACCUCGGAGCAGCAGCAAGAACCGUCCAAGGAAGUGCAAAGACACAAAGAUGUUUAAAAACAACAACAAAAGGGAACGGCAGCACUCUGAAACACCGAGCAAGUUUGGAGUAGCGCUGAAGCUGGCAGCGGCCUCAUCUGGCUCGUGUUUUGCACUCCGGAGGGAGAGGCCUGCCACUCUUAACCCUUCCGGAGGGCGUAAAGGCAGGUGUGAAAACUGUGAAGAAGCAGUUUUUUGUCAGACGCUUCUUCCUUGCUCCCUCCAGCCUCACUCGCCAACAGCUGCACUUCUACAAGCACUGUGGUAAAAGUAUUCAUUUGCUCUGUGGUUUUGAACCGUCAGUUCUCACAGAGCUGACCAGUGCGUUAGGAGCACUGGGAAACUGAGUGUAAUCUUUGUUUUCUGUAAUAUGAGAUGUUUGUGUGUUAUCUCUAACAACUUACCUCGUGUGCUGAGUGGUAUCAGUUUUAAAAAAUUGAAAGAAUUAACUGCAGAAACUCCUUUCCCUGUAAAGCACUGAAACACAGGCUUAUAGCCAGCAGCAGCUUACAGUCAGUGCACGUAUGUAGUAGCGCAUGUCUGCUGCAUGACCUGGCUGCACAGUUGUCAUUUGUAGCCUUUGAUGACUCAUUAAGUCAUUUUUAGCUCUGUUGGGUUACUUCUGUCACAGAUUGAUUGUUAAUAGUAUGCAAAACCAGAGGCAGAACAUGUUAGGGGAUUCUUCUUUUACAGGUAAAGCAGCAGAGUAGGUGCUGAUUAGGUGCAGUCAUCUGCUUUCAUCUUUCUGGCAAAGGAAGUAGUCUUGCCAAAUACCAUCGUCCUGCUAAGAUUCAUCAAUACACUACUGGAGAGGAGGCCUUCCAAUCAUCCGUGGAAUUUAAUUUUUACCCUCUGUGUAAUUAAAUUGCUACUCUGAAGAUUUGUGCUAAGCAUAGGGGAAUAAUUUAGACACACAAAGUAAUAAAGCUUCCAGAUGGUAAAUUCAUGAGUCUGUUUUCGGGUGGUAUCAUUAAUUAUUCUAGUUGUGUUUUGUUUUUGUUUUUUUUUGUCUACACUCGAGCUGUCAUCAUCUACAACAGUGACCAAAACCUGAGCCACAGUCUAGAUACUUGUUCCUUGGCUUUCUUGGUUGAAUUUUGCAGCGGGACAAAAGGUACAGGAAUCACGUUGAAACUCUCUUUUUCACUGAAAAAGAGUUUUGGCUGUUGUAUCUUAGAUGAGCUAGGUUGACAGUGCUCCUGGACAUCAUGUAAAUAGCUUUCUUUCUUUCUCCAUUCCUUGAAUGUGAUUUUGGUCUUCUGCUUGUCCAAAUCAAGAAAUCAUUGUCAAGUAAAAAGAAUAAAUGACUGUGAAAGACAUAGGCUGCAAAAAUCUGUUUACUUCUACUCAGCUUAGAAAUUAUUACUAUGCUAUGACUUUGUGUGUUUUGUCAGGAUCUAACUUUCUGAUAGCCUGAUUUUCUGAUACCUUUAGUAAUAGCCAGAUUCCAGCAGCAACACUGUAGUCAUAAGAAUAAAUGAACUUAAAAUUUAUCUUCACAUUCUGUUUUUUUAUGAAAUGGACUGAAAUUGUGCUAUAGGUAUUUUGUGCUACUGGUUUCUCUAUAUGUCUUAUAGUACGUGAUUUGCGAGAAUUCAUCUUAAAAAUCAGGAAGUGCAGUGUCUGUAAAUCUGUAAUCGACAAGGAGUGUUUAUUUCAGUUUAUGUAAAAUUUAUAUGUGAGUGUGAAUAAA